This 397-nucleotide ribosomal RNA is filed under the name uncultured bacterium. RNAcentral's name for it is "bacterial SSU rRNA". It matches the Rfam family "Bacterial small subunit ribosomal RNA", at positions 30 to 431 of the family's 1533-position model. The record is from RNAcentral.
AUUGAACGCUGGCGGCAUGCCUUACACAUGCAAGUCGAACGGCAGCGGACCUUCGGGUGCCGGCGAGUGGCGAACGGGUGAGUAAUAUAUCGGAACGUACCUUUCAGUGGGGGAUAACGUAGCGAAAGUUACGCUAAUACCGCAUAUUCUGUGAGCAGGAAAGCAGGGGAUCGCAAGACCUUGCGCUGAUUGAGCGGCCGAUAUCAGAUUAGCUAGUUGGUGAGGUAAAGGCUCACCAAGGCGACGAUCUGUAGCGGGUCUGAGAGGAUGAUCCGCCACACUGGAACUGAGACACGGUCCAGACUCCUACGGGAGGCAGCAGUGGGGAAUUUUGGACAAUGGGCGCAAGCCUGAUCCAGCCAUGCCGCGUGAGUGAAGAAGGCCUCGGUUGUAAGAC